Molecule: long non-coding RNA, 416 nt
Organism: Melanotaenia boesemani (Boeseman's rainbowfish)
Lineage: Eukaryota; Metazoa; Chordata; Actinopteri; Atheriniformes; Melanotaeniidae
Exons: 3
Source: RefSeq, a predicted model, not a curated record
GGAGCAUGGCUGAAUUUCUCCCGUGUGUAACACAUGGAGUUCAAAGCUUCACACACCUGGAAACAGCAGCAGGGUUAUGUCACUGCUGCAGGUUUGUGAUGAAGUGGAGCGAAAACAUCCAGCUUUGGGAAAGAAGUGACAAAGAUUUGACUGCGUCUGCAAAAAGUGCUUCACCUGCCUCCAGAGAAAUCUCUGCCAUACCAGCUGUACCUGGAGGCCAGAGAGGAGGCUCUCGUUGAAGAGUUACCAGGAGUUAACAGGUAUUGACUCUUUAUAUUUCUCCCAUACGUCUAUAAGGAGAACAUGAACCUUUUUAUCCCUCUUGGAGACUCUGAUGCAGACAUGUGGUGUUUAACUGAACCAAACACACACAACAAAGUUAGCAAGUUAACUUUUCUUAUUGAUUGUAUGACUGA